ACAACCAUAUCAUGUUGAACUACUGGUUUCCAUAUGAUCACUGAAGUUAAGCAAGAUUAAACCUGGUCAGUACCUAGAUGGGUAACCACUUAGGAAUAUGUGGUGCUGUAAG
Molecule: non-coding RNA, 112 nt
Organism: Acanthosepion pharaonis
Lineage: Eukaryota; Metazoa; Mollusca; Cephalopoda; Sepiida; Sepiidae
Source: the annotation of a GenBank genome assembly